GAUCAUGCUCAGGAUGAACGCUAGCUACAGGCUUAACACAUGCAAGUCUAGGGGCAGCAUGGUCUUAGCUUGCUAAGGCCGAUGGCGACCGGCUCACGGGUGAGUAACACGUAUCCAACCUGCCGUCUACUCUUGGACAGCCUUCUGAAAGGAAGAUUAAUACAAGAUGGCAUCAUGAGUUCACAUGUUCACAUGAUUAAAGGUAUUCCGGUAGACGAUGGGGA
Molecule: ribosomal RNA, 224 nt
Filed under: uncultured bacterium
Lineage: Bacteria
Description: partial 16S ribosomal RNA
Rfam family: Bacterial small subunit ribosomal RNA
Source: RNAcentral